This 301-nucleotide ribosomal RNA is filed under the name uncultured bacterium. RNAcentral describes it as "partial 16S ribosomal RNA". It matches the Rfam family "Bacterial small subunit ribosomal RNA", at positions 509 to 812 of the family's 1533-position model. The record is from RNAcentral.
CAGCAGCCACGGGAAUACGGAGGGUGCAAGCGUUAAUCGGAAUUACUGGGCGUAAAGCGUGCGUAGGCGGUUCGUUAAGUCUGUUGUGAAAGCCCCGGGCUCAACCUGGGAAUGGCAAUGGAUACUGGCGAGCUAGAGUGUGUCAGAGGAUGGUGGAAUUCCCGGUGUAGCGGUGAAAUGCGUAGAGAUCGGGAGGAACACCAACGGCGAAAGCACUCUGCUGGGCCGACACUGACACUGAGAGACGAAAGCUAGGGGAGCAAAUGGGAUUAGAUACCCCGGUAGUCCCUGUAUCUUAUAC